This is a non-coding RNA of Myotis brandtii (Brandt's bat), 46 nucleotides long. The record is from Rfam. NCBI's taxonomy places the organism in Eukaryota, Metazoa, Chordata, Mammalia, Chiroptera, Vespertilionidae.
AAAAAGGUUUUUCUUAAAACCAAACAGAUUAAGUGUCUUGGCAAAU